RNAcentral lists this ribosomal RNA (497 nucleotides) under uncultured bacterium. RNAcentral's name for it is "partial 16S ribosomal RNA". It matches the Rfam family "Bacterial small subunit ribosomal RNA", at positions 28 to 507 of the family's 1533-position model. The record is from RNAcentral.
GAUGAACGCUGGCGGCGUGCCUAAUACAUGCAAGUCGAGCGAACAGACGAGGAGCUUGCUCCUCUGACGUUAGCGGCGGACGGGUGAGUAACACGUGGAUAACCGACCGAUAAGACUGGGAUAAGGUCGGGAAAGCGGAGAUAACACAGGAUAAGAGAUUGAACGGCAGGGAUCAAUAGAGAAAGAGGGAUUUGAUGAGACUAAGAGAUGGAACCGAGCCGCAUUAGCUAGUUGGUAAGGUAACGGCUUACCAAGGCAACGAGGCGUAGCCGACCUGAGAGGAUGAUCGGCCACACUGGAACUGAGACACGGUCCAGACUCCUACGGGAGGCAGCAGUAGGGAAUCUUCCGCAAUGGGCGAAAGCCUGACGGAGCAACGCCGCGUGAGUGAUGAAGGUCUUCGGAUCGUAAAACUCUUUUAGUAGGGAGGAACAAAUGUGUAUGUAACUCUUCCCGUCUUGACGGUACCUACUCAGAAAGCCCCGGCUAACUACGUG